Molecule: ribosomal RNA, 468 nt
Filed under: uncultured bacterium
Lineage: Bacteria
Description: partial 16S ribosomal RNA
Rfam family: Bacterial small subunit ribosomal RNA
Source: RNAcentral
GACGAACGCUGGCGGCGUGCUUAACACAUGCAAGUCGAACGGAAAGGCCCUGCUUUUGUGGGGUGCUCGAGUGGCGAACGGGUGAGUAACACGUGAGUAACCUGCCCUUGACUUUGGGAUAACUUCAGGAAACUGGGGCUAAUACCGGAUAGGAGCUCCUGCUGCAUGGUGGGGGUUGGAAAGUUUCGGCGGUUGGGGAUGGACUCGCGGCUUAUCAGCUUGUUGGUGGGGUAGUGGCUUACCAAGGCUUUGACGGGUAGCCGGCCUGAGAGGGUGACCGGCCACAUUGGGACUGAGAUACGGCACAGACUCCUACGGGAGGCAGCAGUGGGGAAUAUUGCACAAUGGGCGGAAGCCUGAUGCAGCAACGCCGCGUGCGGGAUGACGGCCUUCGGGUUGUAAACCGCUUUCGGCUGUGACGAAGCGUGAGUGACGGUAAUGGGUAAAGAAGCACCGGCUAACUACGUG